UGGCUCAGGACGAACGCUGGCGGCGUGCCUAACACAUGCAAGUCGAGCGAGGAGAUCCUUCGGGAUGAUCCUAGCGGCGGACGGGUGAGUAACACGUGGGCAACCUGCCUCAUAGAGAGGAAUAGCCUUCCGAAAGGGAGAUUAAUACCUCAUAACAUUGCAGUUUCGCAUGGAACAGCAAUUAAAGGAGUAAUCCGCUAUGAGAUGGGCCCGCGGCGCAUUAGCUAGUUGGUGAGGUAACGGCUCACCAAGGCGACGAUGCGUAGCCGACCUGAGAGGGUGAUCGGCCACAUUGGGACUGAGACACGGCCCAGACUCCUACGGGAGGCAGCAGUGGGGAAUAUUGCACAAUGGGGGAAACCCUGAUGCAGCAACGCCGCGUGAGUGAUGACGGCCUUCGGGUUGUAAAGCUCUGUCUUCAGGGACGAUAAUGACGGUACCUGAGGAGGAAGCCACGGCUAACUACGUGCCAGCCGCCGC
Molecule: ribosomal RNA, 480 nt
Filed under: uncultured bacterium
Lineage: Bacteria
Description: bacterial SSU rRNA
Rfam family: Bacterial small subunit ribosomal RNA
Source: RNAcentral